UUAUAGUUUGUUCUCGAAUAAUCGACGGCGAGCAGUAAAGAUACAUAUAAACGGAGCAUGAGUAUUUGAAAGCAAGCAUCCUCAAGCCUAACCGUAGAUUAAUAGACAAUAAUUUAUGACAGAAAGUGUAUUAUUUCUUUUUAAUUACGAUCUUUUUUCCUGGGUUUGUUUUUUAAAGGCCGACCUAAGACCAAUAUGUUUUACCUAAACUCCAUUCGCUGAAGUAAUUUUAUCUUUUAAAACAGUAUUGCGACGAAUUAAAUACUAGCGUGUUUGCAAAGAAUUAAUGCCCUGAAACUUUUUCUGUUGUUUCAUCAAUCGUAUAUGUUUAACUCUGUCUAAAAAACAGGGACAUACCAUCGAUAUGAUUUGAACGUGUUCAUUAGUUGUCGCAUUAAUAAUUUGUGUAUGUAUGUAUAUACUUUGUUUGACAUAUUACAUUUUCGUGCAUUAUUUUCUCUAACAGUCUUGCAGAGAUACCGAUCAAAAGAUAGUAUGGCGAUAGCUAUUUGUCCAUAUUAAGGAUUGUGGGUCCGAAAUUAAGAUCCAGUGGUGGAAGCGGUGGAUCGAAUUAUAGGCCAUGGACUUGGGGAAAGUAAAUUCACACGUCGUGACAACGAGGCGGACACAGAAAUGACAUCAACAAUAACGAACGCAAUAACUAACGACAUGUUAUUGUAUUGAACAUGUUU
This is a long non-coding RNA of Dreissena polymorpha, 692 nucleotides long. RefSeq lists it as uncharacterized. The record is from RefSeq and is a predicted model, not a curated record. NCBI's taxonomy places the organism in Eukaryota, Metazoa, Mollusca, Bivalvia, Myida, Dreissenidae. The transcript has 3 exons.